UACUUUCCUAGUCUACUGUAGCCAUAGA
This 28-nucleotide small RNA is filed under the name Bombyx mori (domestic silkworm). RNAcentral describes it as "ovarian small RNA-21708". Lineage: Eukaryota; Metazoa; Arthropoda; Insecta; Lepidoptera; Bombycidae. The record is from RNAcentral.